UUCCGGUUGAUCCUGCCGGAGGCCAUUGCUAUUGGGAUCCGAUUUAGCCAUGCUAGUCGUACGAGUUCACACUCGUGGCGCAUAGCUCAGUAACACGUGGCCAAACUACCCUUCGGAGCACAAUACCCUCGGGAAACUGAGGCUAAUAGUGCAUCGCACAGUUCACCUGGAACGAGAACUGUGUCAAACGUUCCGGCGCCGAAGGACGUGGCUGCGGCCGAUUAGGUAGACGGUGGGGUAAUGGCCCACCGUGCCAAUAAUCGGUACGGGUGGUGAGAGCCAGAACCCGGAGACGGAAUCUGAGACAAGAUUCCGGGCCCUACGGGGCGCAGCAGGCGCGAAACCUUUACACUGCACGCCAGUGCGAUAGGGGGAUCCCAAGUGCACAGGCAUAGUGCCUGUGCUUUUCGGUACCCUAAGGCGGUACCAGAAUAAGGGCUGGGCAAGACCGGUGCCAGCCGCCGCGGUAAUACCGGCAGCCCGAGUGAUGGCCGAUUUUAUUGGGCCUAAAGCGUCCGUAGCUGGCCGCGCAAGUCCAUCGGAAAAUCCACCCGCUCAACGGGUGGGCGACCGGUGGAAACUGCGUGGCUUGGGACCGGAAGGCGCGACGGGUACGUCCGGGGUAGGAGUGAAAUCCCGUAAUCCCGAACGGACCGCCGAUGGCGAAAGCACGUCGCGAAAACGGAUCCGACAGUGAGGGACGAAAGCCAGGGUCUCGAACCGGAUUAGAUACCCGGGUAGUCCUGGCCGUAAACAAUGUCUGCUAGGUGUGGCUCCCGCUACGAGCGGGUGCUGUGCCGCAGGGAAGCCGCUAAGCAGACCGCCUGGGAAGUACGUCCGCAAGGAUGAAACUUAAAGGAAUUGGCGGG
RNAcentral lists this ribosomal RNA (869 nucleotides) under uncultured archaeon. RNAcentral describes it as "bacterial SSU rRNA". It matches the Rfam family "Archaeal small subunit ribosomal RNA", at positions 1 to 872 of the family's 1478-position model. The record is from RNAcentral.